Molecule: ribosomal RNA, 357 nt
Filed under: uncultured bacterium
Lineage: Bacteria
Description: bacterial SSU rRNA
Rfam family: Bacterial small subunit ribosomal RNA
Source: RNAcentral
ACUCCUACGGGAGGCAGCAGUGGGAAUAUUGCACAAUGGGGAAGCCAUCGAUGCAGCCAUGCCGCGCUGUGUGAAGAAGGCCAAUUCGGGCUUUGGUUAAAGACACUUUUCAGUAGGGAGGAAGGUAGUGUAGUUAACACCUGCAUUAUUUGACGUUACCUACAGAAGAAGCACCGGCUAACUCCGUGCCAGCAGCCGCGGUAAUACGGAGGGUGCGAGCGUUAAUCGGAAUUACUGGGCGUAAAGCGCAUGCAGGCGGCCUGUUAAGUCAGAUGUGAAAGCCCGGGGCUUAACCUCGGAAUUGCAUUUGAAACUGGCAGGCUAGAGUCUUGUAGAGGGGUGAGAAUUGAUCAGGUG